Molecule: small nuclear RNA, 76 nt
Gene: U2
Rfam family: U2 spliceosomal RNA
About the family: U2 is a small nuclear RNA (snRNA) component of the spliceosome (involved in pre-mRNA splicing).
Source: Ensembl
AUCGCUUCUCGGCCUUUUGGCUAAGAUCAAGUGUAGUAUAGCAUAACCUAGCAAAAAAAAAUGAUAAUUAACAAAU